AGAGUUUGAUCCUGGCUCAGAAUGAACGCUGGCGGCGUGCUUAACACAUGCAAGUCGCACGAGAACGCUUCAGCUUGCUGAAGCUAGUAAAGUGGCGCACGGGUGAGUAACGCGUGGGUAAUCUACCCUCGAAUUGGGGAUAACAUCGCGAAAGCGAUGCUAAUACCGGAUAAUAUCUUAAAAACUUCGGUUUUAAAGAUCAAAGGUGGCCCCUACAUGUAAGCUACUGUUUGAGGAUGAGCCCGCGUACCAUUAGCUUGUUGGUAGGGUAAUGGCCUACCAAGGCCGCGAUGGUUAGCUGGUCUGAGAGGAUGAUCAGCCACACUGGAACUGACACACGGUCCAGACUCCUACGGGAGGCAGCAGUGAGGAAUUUUGCGCAAUGGGGGAAACCCUGACGCAGCAACGCCGCGUGAGUGAUGAAGGCUUUCGGGUCGUAAAGCUCUGUCAAGUGGGAAGAAUUCACAUGGUGAUAAUACCACUGUGUGCUGACGUACCACUGAAGAAGCACCGCUAAC
Molecule: ribosomal RNA, 518 nt
Filed under: uncultured bacterium
Lineage: Bacteria
Description: bacterial SSU rRNA
Rfam family: Bacterial small subunit ribosomal RNA
Source: RNAcentral